Molecule: ribosomal RNA, 524 nt
Filed under: uncultured bacterium
Lineage: Bacteria
Description: partial 16S ribosomal RNA
Rfam family: Bacterial small subunit ribosomal RNA
Source: RNAcentral
GACGAACGCUGGCGGCGUGCCUAAUACAUGCAAGUCGAACGCUUCUUUUUCCACCGGAGCUUGCUCCACCGGAAAAAGAGGAGUGGCGAACGGGUGAGUAACACGUGGGUAACCUGCCCAUCAGAAGGGGAUAACACUUGGAAACAGGUGCUAAUACCGUAUAACAAUCGAAACCGCAUGGUUUUGAUUUGAAAGGCGCUUUCGGGUGUCGCUGAUGGAUGGACCCGCGGUGCAUUAGCUAGUUGGUGAGGUAACGGCUCACCAAGGCCACGAUGCAUAGCCGACCUGAGAGGGCGAUCGGCCACAUUGGGACUGAGACACGGCCCAAACUCACAUGGGAGGCAGCAGUAGGGAAUCUUCGACAAUGGACGAAAGUCUGACCGAGCAACGCCGCGUGAGUGAAGAAGGUUUUCGGAUCGUAAAACUCUGUUGUUAGAGAAGAACAAGGAUGAGAGUAACUGUUCAUCCCUUGACGGUAUCUAACCAGAAAGCCACGGCUGACUACGUGCCAGCCGCCGCCGUAA